This 1833-nucleotide long non-coding RNA is filed under the name Mus musculus (house mouse). RNAcentral's name for it is "long non-coding RNA chr14:31444684-31446517". Lineage: Eukaryota; Metazoa; Chordata; Mammalia; Rodentia; Muridae. The record is from RNAcentral.
GUCUAAUAGCAUAGAGGGCAGAUAUCUGCCCAGCUCUCGAGCUGUUUAAGGCUUAUUGUAAAUAUAAAAGAUGUGUGUCUUUUACUUGGGAACUGAAUAAUCCAAAGUGGGGUACAAAUCCUGGGUUGGGAUUAAAAAUUUCUACAAAAACAGUCUUCCUGCCUUAGCCUUCCCCAUGCUGAGAUUAACAGGCAUGUAUCACCAUGCCAACAAACAUGUCUUUCUGCUUGCUUGGGUUUUUUGGGGGUGGGAUAGGGGAGUAUUGUUUGCUGUACAGAAAACCAGAUCACUCUUGGUAUUAGACAGUCUUUGGGCUUUAUUGAAAGAAUCCCAGCACUUUGGAUACAGAGGAAUUGUCAAGAAUUGAAAGCUAGCCUGGGUUUACCUCAAACACAAACAAGCUGGGCACGAUGGCUGUGCUGGCUAGUCUUACGUUGUCAGCUUGAUACAAGCUAGGCCUAUCUGAAAGAAGGGAACCUCAACGGAGAAAAUGUCUCCAUAAGAUCCAGUUGUAAAGCAUUUUCUUUAAUUGGUGAUUGAUCGGGGAGGGCCCAGGCCACUGUGGGUGGUACUAUCCCUGGGCUCGUGGUCCUUGGUUUUAUUUUUAAAAGCAGGCUGAGAAAGCCAUGGGGAGCAAGCCAGUAAGCAGCAGCCCUCCAUUACCUCUGCAUCAGCUCCUGCCUCCAUGUUCCUGCCCUGUUUGAGUUCUUGUCCUGGCUUGCUUCAAUGAUUAUGGAAGUGUAGGCCAAAUGAGCCCUCUCCUCCCCAACUUGCUUUUGGUUUUGGUGUUUCAUCACAACAGUGGAAACCCUAAAACAGUGGCAUAUGCCUUGAAUCUCAACACUUGGGAGGCAGAAGCAGGUAAAUAUGAGUUUAAGGGCAGUCUGUCCACAAAACAGGUUCCAGUGCAGCCAGGGUAACAUAGUGUGACUCUGUGCCAAGUUUAAAGCAAAGAGAACCCAAUCUAUGGAUUCUGACAAAGGCCUAAUGGUAUUGCUUCCUGCUGCUGUUCAAAACAAAACACCCUGACUAACAAACUUAGGUGAGAAAGGGUUAUAGUUCGGUUAUAUCAGAGACAUCAGGAUUGCAGGAACUUGAAGCAGCUAGUCAUGUGACAUCCAUAGUUAGGAGCAAUGCAUGAAUGCUCUGUUCAGCUUGCUGUCCACUCUUACAUGGCCCAGAGCCCAGCCCAGGAAUGCUAUUACCCACAUUUGGGAUGGUUCUUCCUACACCAAUGAAUGUAGUCAAGAUAACCCCCACAGGCAUGCCAUCAGGCCAACCUGACCUAGACCAUCUUUUGAGACUCUUUCAAGGUGAUUCUACAAGUUGGCAGUUAAAAUCAACCCCCACAUUUUGUCAUCUGUCAUACAGAAUAUUUGUGCUACCUUCAAAAAAUCUCUAGUCUCUGGGAGCACCAGGAGUCGACACUGCCAGGCAAUUUUAAGAAAACAUUAGACAAGCUAGAUGUGGGAAAUGUCCAGGCUCAAUAAAGCCAAGAGGAAGAAAGUCCAACACAAGAGAAGACCUGCCAAACAAAGAGACCAUUGAGCAGAGUAACCAGAGAAAUAUUCCCUAAAAGGCUAGGCUGGAAGAUUCACCCCACCGCCAGACACACAUCCUCUUAUCUCCAGGGCCCACUAAGGAUGGGACAGAAGAGUUACUGGCAAGAUGGACGAAGGCCACAAGCUGUACUGCGAAGCCAGGUGCUCUGCCCCAUCCUGCUGCUCUCUGAAGGAGGCCUCUCCCUAAACAGCCUGACGAAUCUCACCUAUUUGCCCUGGAAUCAUAUAAGAAUUAUUUAUCUGAUUAAUGAAAAUAAACACAGCUUGUGCC